Molecule: non-coding RNA, 72 nt
Organism: Ameiurus melas (black bullhead)
Lineage: Eukaryota; Metazoa; Chordata; Actinopteri; Siluriformes; Ictaluridae
Source: the annotation of a GenBank genome assembly
UCCCUGGUGAUCUAGUGGUUAGGAUUCAGUGCUCUCACCACCACAGCCCAGGCACGAUUCCUGGGCAGGGAA